UUUUGCCAUGAAUAGGAGUGAUCAUUCGGUUAUAACCGAACCGAAUAGGCUAUUCGGUUAUAAUCGAAUACCGAAUUAUCGAUAAUUCUACUAUCCGAAAUACUAACCGAAAUUUGAAACUAACCGAAUUACCGAAUUGUACAUUUGGAUAUUCGGGUAAUAACCGAACCUGUGCUCUUUUUAAAAUUAAGAAUACAACAACAUAUUACAAAGUAAUACAAAGUAACUUAAGUACUUAGCAGCAACAUCCCAACAUCCAACAUCCAACAUUCCAACAUAAAGUUUAUGACACAACAUCAACAAGCCAACAAAUACAGCAGCAAAUUAACUGUUAACUGUCCAACAAGCCAACAAGCAACAACAAGCCAACAACAUGGUGUUUGAGAUAUCCCAACAACAACAACAGCCAAACAGCAACAGCAACAAGCAAGCAAGAGAUAUCCCAGUAACUGCAGUUAGGAAGUAGAUGGCAGUUAGGUAGUGAAGAAUGGUGUUUGAUCUUUAAGAGUUAACACAGAUGAACAAACAAUUAAGCUUCAUUUAGAAAUUAAUUAAACUGAUAAUAAUAUAUAUAGCACAAAAGAACAGAGAGAACAUAGAGAAAUUAAUUAAACUGUAUCUUAUAACCCUUUCUUCUUUCAAUCUAUCCCCAAGUCUCCACCCAACUCCCUUUUAAAACAAAGCACUAUAACAAAAUUUCAGCUCACAAGUUACAACAAGCACCAUAUGGUUUGAAGUUUAGUUUGAACACACUAGUUUUGUCGCUCAUCAGACCUGUUUUUGCAAUCUAAACAAACUCAUAUUAAUGUUUGACCCUGAAAGGAAGGUGUGAUCCUCCUGUAUGUAUACUUGUACUAAUCCAGUGAUGGCUUUGAAGAAUUUCUCACUUAUUGAUGGCUUACUCUACAAAGC
This 912-nucleotide long non-coding RNA is filed under the name Panax ginseng (ginseng). RNAcentral describes it as "long non-coding RNA (PGIN_LNC007408)". Lineage: Eukaryota; Viridiplantae; Streptophyta; Magnoliopsida; Apiales; Araliaceae. The record is from RNAcentral.